AAUUAUAAUAACAAAAUUUUAAUUCUAAUAAAAUACUAAAUAAACUCUAAUUAAAUCUUAAUAAUAUUAAAAAAACUUUAAUCGAAUUCAAAAGAAACCUUAAAGAAAUUACAAAAGAAACAAUAAAAAAAUCUGAAAAGGAUUGAAAGAUAAUCAACAUUAAAUCUUAAAAGAAUCCUUAAGAAGUCCUAAAAAAUAUUAAAAUAAUGAAAAUAUUUCUUAAAUAAAUAUCAACCAACUAAUUUAAUCCUAAUUAAAAUCCUAAUGGACUUCAAUCAAAUCCUAGACAAAUCCUAAACUCUAAACCAAAUUUUAAACAAACUUUAAACUCUAAAUCAAAUCCUAGAUAAAUCCUAAAUCUUAAAUCUAAUCCUAAUCAAAUCCUAAACCUUAAACCAAAUUCUAUACAAAUCCCAAAUCCUAAACCAAAUCCUAACCAAAUCCUAGCCAAACUUUAAACUCUAAACCAAAUCCUAAAAAAAUUUUAAACCAAAUCUUAGACAAAUUUUAAAUCCUAAACCAAACCAUAAUCAAAUCUUAAAUCUUUAAUCAAAUCCUAAAUUCUAAAUCAAAUCCUAACCAAAUCCUAAAUCCUAAAUCAAAUCCUAAAGUAGUUUAGAACCUCAAUGUCUUUUGAUUAAAUUAUUGAUCUUCUUUAAAAUUUUAUACAAUUCUCAAUCUCUUAGUUACAAAUAAGUAUAACAAAUUUGAAGAUAAUUUCAUUUAUCAAAUGAAAGAAAAAUCCUAAAAUCUCCUUGGAUGUUGGCUGGCCUCCUUCUCCAACCUUGAUGCUAAUCUUCCAAUGCUAACAUCUUCUUUUUGCACCAUUCAAUUGAUUUCAAAAUUCUCAUAUAUGUAGAAAAAUAAGUCUACUACUUAUAUGCACAACUUUCACUCCAAUCCAAUAAUAGAUUAUAAGAAAUCUUAGAAAUCAUUAUUAGACCUAAAAUUCUACUUUCAGAGACCUUAAUCUACUUAAACCUCAAAAAUCCUCAAUUCAACCAUUAGAUCAAGCUAAAAUUCACAACACAUAUUAAGCACAAUUUUAAAGAUUAAUCCAGAAAAUUUCACUUGUAGAAAACUUGUCUUGCAAGUUAAAAUACAUGUCUUGCAAAGUCAACAAAUUUUAGAGAUCCUAUAUGAUAUCACCACAUAGCUUCUAGUGAAGAGUAUAUAUGGAGGUAAGAAUGAAGCCUUCUUCACUCUUGUCAACACCUUUCUAGUCCUUAGUCUUAUUUCAAGACUUUUUAGUCUCCUUGUCUUUGGCAAUAGCCAUCCUAAUUUAAUACUAUAUUAUCUUUAAGUGAUUUUUUAUUCUUUUCGAGUAUCACAAGAGUGUAUUGAUAUUUUAAUUCUUUGAGGUUCAUACCCUUGAUACUAAGAGACUCUUUUAUUUUACUUACAAUAUCCUAAAGUUUCUAAAAAGUCAAUAAAAGUACUAUUUUUACCUUCUAAUGGUAGAAAUUGUCUCAUCUAAAUUUCUCAAUCAUCACUGAGGCCUUAGCCUUACUUGAAGCCAUAUCUAAAGAAGACAUGUAUCAAAAAAGAUCAAGGUAAUGAAUCAUAAAGAUCUCAAAAUUAGCAAGAAAGUGUUAUAAUCUUAGAAUUCCAAAAUGACCUCUUUGUGAACAAUCUAGUAUUUUUUUUCUUUCAAAACACUCUCAACUUCACUUUUUAGAUUUUUCACAACUCUUGAAAAGAACAUAAACAUACCAAAUCAGAUUUAUCACUUCUAAAUGACUUCUUUGUUCAAAAAUCACAUCUUCUUACAAUCAAAGGCUUUUUAAACAUCCUAAGCUUCUGUAAAACCUUGAACUUCAAAGUUAGUCUAUUAAAGCCGUAACUUAUCAAGAAACCAUAAUAUAAGUGUUCUAAUUUUUUUUUUUUUUUUUUUUUUUUAUGUAUAAAACAAACAAUUUAUUCAAAAUGCACUUAAUCACAUAUAAGUGCACACCUAGAUCUAAGGAUAAAUCUUAAUCCAAAUGUUACGAGGCUCCAAGUCUUGAUAUUAUAAAUAAUUAAAUAAUUAACUCUUCACAACUUCAAAAAAAUCACAAAUUAAUAUAAGUGAGACCAUAAUGUAUUGAAAGAAAGAAAAAUUUGAAGUAUCAACAUUUGAUAUAAAUAAGGUUGCAUACAAAGAAAACUAAAGAGUAAAAUAAUUCUCACUUCUAACAUUUGUUACUUAUAAUAAGAAGAUUACAUCUCAUAUAAAUAAUCAUCAUCUAUAAUCAUUUCUAUUAUAUUUUGCCUCAUCUAACUAAUUCCUAGAUUCCUCUUAGUGUAGUUGCCACCUUAAUCACUUGCCCUAAGUCUUUAUUGUUUUUUGACCAUUAAGAGCUUAUUAAAGUUAAACUCUAAAUAGUGGCAAUUAAUCAUAGGUUUGAUAAUUUUUAGCAAUUCUAACAUCAUUAAGUUUUAGAGCCUUCUUUUCAAUUAUUUCAUCAAAAAAAAUAUAAGUUUAAUUUAAGUUGAUAAGAUAUGGAUAGUUUUGCAUUCAUCUUCUUAGUAACUUUUCUUGAGAUGUUAUUUAAUAAGACACUAGAUGCUUCCAUUGAUUUUGAAGAUGUUUGUUUUUUUUAACACAAUUGAGAAUAAAAAUCAAAACAGAUGUCAUGAAGUUUUUGGCAGCUUUUUUGAAUUACACCUUAAAGAUUUUUUAGUACUAUGAUAAUAAGUUUUUGAUAUUGAUUCUUGACUAUUUAAAAAAAUAAUCUUUAACAUUGCUUACUUACACAUGUUUCUAUCUAAUCUAAGAAUGGAUUUGUUGCCUUUUUUGUUGCUUUUCUUAUUGAUACUCAUAAAACUAAUUAGGUUUAAAUAUUUUUAAGGCAUUUGUGUGUAUUAAAGUCUUAAUGAUUAGUAUAAAGAAUAGAAUAAACAUGUUGUAAUUACCCUUAAAACUCAACGUGGUAUUUUAGUCUUAAAAAUGCUUGUUCUUCAUAAAAAAAAAUAAAAAUAAAAUAUUUAUAGAAUUGUGUAAAGAUCCUCAUUCUAUAGAUAAAGCAACAUCUAAAUCUAAGUUGAGUCUAUAUUUCCUUAAUAACUCCUAAGUCCUUCAAUGUGUUAAGGUAAAAAAAUAUUUAUGUUGAAAUUGGAUGCUCUAAGUUUGGAUUUUUAAAGUUAAAUAGUAAACUUAAUUGGAAGAUGAUUUGAUAAUGCAUUGUCUUGUCUUAUCUAAUAUUUUUGGAUUUGGUUUCUUUGUAAUAAAUUAGUACUAAUGCAAAAUGUAUCUAAUUUAAGAAGGAUAUGAAUUCUUUCAUGUUUUUUUUUCUAAAGGUAGUUUAGGAGAUUUCCAUGUUUAAAAGCAUCAGCAAAAAUAAGACAAGAUUUAAAUAAUUUUAAAUUGUUCUUGUUAGCUUAGAAGAUAAGUAUUUUGCAAAAAAAAAAAGAUUUAUAAUAUGCAUAAUUAAUUAUGUUUUAAUCUUUACCAAAAAUAUAAGGAAUAAUAGAAGGUAUAAAUUUUACUAAAUUAAGCCAUAUUUUGGUUCUUUUUAAAUAUUUUAUUAGAAGCAUAAAUAUAAAUAAUACUAAUAGAAUUGCUAAAAUUAUUUAUAUUCAUUUCUAUAUUAAAAUUAUAAAUUUUAAUAAAUAAAUAAGUAUAAUUUUCCUUAAGAAAUAUCACAACAAAAAUCUUCUAUGCAUACAAAUUUUAUUCAAAGUAUUUACAAUCUCAAAUUUAAUUUCAUAAAUAUCUUUUUUUUGUAUAUAUAAAAAAAUAAAGAGGAUAUUUUAAUUUAAUCUAUUGUAUUUUAUCUUAUUUAUUUAUUUUUCUUCUUUUAUGGUCUUCAUGUAAAAAUUAUAUAUUUUUGAUAAUUUUUUCCUCUCAAUUUACGAAUAAUUAUUAAUAAAAAUAAUAAUAAUGUAGAGAUUCUACAAACAAAUCUCCAAGUCAUGUUGCAUGGAUAAACACAAUCUAAUCGAUUAUCACUUGUAAUAGGUCCAAUUUGGAUGGAACAUUUUAUUAAAUGCGUACUCUUCUUAAGAAUAAGAGUAAUAUAUAAGUAGUAGGCAUUAGACAAAACCCAUCUUAUAAAUUUUUAAUACUUAAUAAAGUGAGUAUUAUUCUAAAGAGACUCUUAAAUAUAAUUUAAAUUGAUCUCUAAAUGGAACACAUUCUUAAUUUACAUAUUGACAGCACUCCUAGCUACUUUAGGUUUUACUACUAUUUAGUUUAACAAUCUUCAUAAUUUUUUUUUGAUAACUUACACCUUUCUGAACUGCAAUUUUUCUUCAACUACCUUUUUGUAAACAAAUCUAAUCAAACUUCGAUUAAAUUUUUUUAAAACCUACCCAACUUCUUUAUUUGGUUGAAUAUUGAUUUCACAUUUUUUUUCUAACCAACACCCACUUCGAAUGUCCAAUUUGAAGAUUGAUUAUCGGUGGUUGAAACGAAAAAAAAUGAGAAAAACAAAAGAAUAUAAGGUUUGGAAAUCUAAGAUAACGACUGCCCUAAAUUAAAGAUCGAAAAGAGAACGUAACCCUAAAGGACGGUGGAAAAUAUUACUAACAUCGUUUCCGAGAUGCAGGCUGAACACCCGCGGCGAUGCGUAUCAUUUGAAGCAAGCAUUGCGGUAGCAAUUCGAUUCAAGACCCACCAAAUUCAAACGCCGUUUCGACAUACCCACUUCUCGGAUCUGCAUUCGUCACAGAUCAUGGCGAUGUCUAUAACUUAUGAUCGAGUCGAGCUGGUCAUUGGUGGCAAUGCAAAGAAGUGCAAUGCCACUGCUGCUUCAUUCGGAGGACUGAUCUGUUUCAAACAAACCCACUGUCGAUGCACCACAUUCGGUCUCCAAUGUCGGCAACUCUUUUGUGAUCAACUAGAGGCAUGUGCUUCGAUGAGCGAAGAGCAAUUAGCAACAAGAAAAGCUGCCCCACAUUGUCACUUACCUUGGCCAUCUCCAGACAGCGAUCCAAACCAUCCAGGGAGACGUUGUGCCUCAGAAGGAAGGUCGGAUUAGCAUGUGGGUACAUUCAUUGCAAUCAAUACAAGCGGGUGGGGAGUAUCAGAUGCGAUUUUCGACAACUUACCGAUCCUCGUACACAAGGUGCGCCUUCGUGACAGGGGGUGUACAUGCUCUGACAGAGGGAGAUGCAGCAGCAACACAAUAGUCGCAACAGUUUAAAAGGAAACCCUAAACGCGCUGAAACUAAUCCCAAACUGAUAAUUCAUGAGUUGGGUAGGAAAAUCUUGCAUCGCAGUCACGGCAGCGGAGAACUACGAACCUGAAUGGCUGAGCUAGUUGGUCUUACUCCGAAAGCUACUUCGAUGACACUUACUAAGAAAGCUCAAUGGUUUUUGAAACGUUCACUGCUUCUAGAGACGCUUCUGACCACUCUAACGUGCCACACAUACACUUGUAGAAUUGUUAUGCUGAAAGCCGAAACCGUGUGCAAUGUGUCAUGAGAAACCUAGAAUGGGGGUUUAAGCUGUGUUCACAGACCAGGUGGAGUUGAUGCUUGGCAGUCGAAUGAGUGAUACAAGUGUCACCAUUAGAGUUGAUUGGGGUAACUCGACCUAUUUCUGUCUUCCGCGUGUUAGGGAGUAAUUGGGUAUGUCGGAAUCCUACAACCCUCGGAAAUGAAUAGGCCUCUAAAAAACUGACGACGUCAACGGCCAACGUCUCAAAAUCUCUGCCUUUUUGUUUUGCUUCAUUCUCGGGUUGACUCACACUGGUUGGUUGACUUGGAAAGUACCUCCCGAAAUUCUGCUGGGAUCUUUGUGAGUAUGAACCCGGCUGCAUGUCAUCGCUUGCGGAGUAGAGCGAAUCGAAAGCCAAUGUGGGUCACAUGUUCGCACUCGUCUGGCAUGACAACCCAAUGCUGUGAAGACUUUGAGAUGUUAUCUUGGGGCCCCACUGCAAUGGGUGACUUAGCUUUUCAUUCCAUUCGCUCACGUCUACAUGAGUGCUUGUUUAGGUUUGGAAGGUCUUCGGUAGGCGAGAGCUUGUGAGGUGAUUUUCUUUUUGUAUGUCUUGCUGUGUCUUUUAAUGCUGUUGUGCCGCGAGAGUUGUGUCUAAUCUGUAGCUUCUGAAGAGAGUAUAGUGGAAAGUCGCACGUUUACAACAAGAAAUUUAACUAGAACUAUUGCUAUUUUCUUUUUCUUUUUCUUUAAUUUUUUUUUUCAGAUUUCAAACAGGAUCAUGAGCUGUAAGCUGCCAAGUAGAGUUGUUGAAGACGUAGACCCUUGAUUUUGUAAGGGUUGGUGCACAAAAGUUUGCUUGUAGGAAUUUUUUCAAGAUUAGUGCUGGGAGAGAUGUAGCACAAUUCUCGUUUUUGUUUUGCCUGCAAGAUUGAGGCUUGGAGACGUAGGGUUUAUCUCGCUUUUGUGGCGAAACCGGGAGUUCUGACAUGGAGGAGGGCGGAGAUGGGGCAGAAGAGGCAGCGCCCUCGAAUUUUACAACUCGACCUGCACCACAAAAGACCCAAGUUGGUACGUUCAACUUAUCUUUGUGUUCCUGGCACCCCGAUUUGAACGCUGUUGAGAACUUCAAUUUACAGUGCAGUGCUCCAAAAACACAGUAAACCAUUACUCGAUCUGGGUACACCCAAUGAAUGAGGCGUUCGUACGCUCUCCGUGAGGCAAGAAUCAGGGUUUAAAAGAAUUGUACAUCUUUGAAGUUAUUAGUGGAGUAUUUCUGGAACGGGUACCCUCAUCCUUGUCUUGAAUUUCCACAAUAAUAUCAAGCUGGAUAUUGAAAACAUACAAUUUCUAGGAGAAGAGUUUCAUAAAUUGCAAGGUUUUCCCUCUUCGUAUUCAUUACUAGCAGAGAAUGUUUGGGUUCGGCUUAAUUCUAGGAGGUCUGUUAUAUGAAGUUAUCAGCGAAUAGUUGAAGUGUUUCUAUAUAGGUUUUGUAAUCACCAAGGUGCUCAUUAAUGCACUGCAGUAUGACCAGUUUGUGAUUACUUAGAGGCAUAGGCUUUAGAAAAUUAAUAGCAGCAAGAGUGCAAUGUCCGCUCUCACUUGAGUUUCCUCAUGAUUGUAUUACUCUCAGUCUCUCGGAGAUGGUCUCAUGCAGGGUCGGCAAACGUGAAACUCCCUGAUCAGAUGAGAAGAGAGAGUGCAACCAUUCCAAAGCGUCUAUACCAUGCGGUAUCCAUUGAUGAAAACCAGAAGAUGAAGGACUUGAACAACUACCCCAAGAAAAAUCUUGAUUACAAAGACGAUGCCGGAAUCGCUCGCAUGUCAAGCGCUACCAUGGUGGGCAUCCGGUCCUUCUUGGACACGUUUCCGUCCAGGCCCAUGGAAGCCGAUGCUGGAGCCAAUAUACAGCAAGGGCCAAUUGGAGGUGUCAAAUCAGGGCUACAAGGCUGGGAUAGUGACCUCUUAGAUCUUCCUAUUGGGGAGGGUGGUCCACCCACGAAACGAAAGUUGUGUAUAUUGAGUAUGGAUGGUGGUGGCAUACGGGGGCUUAUUGCAGCACGUACAUUGACUCGUUUAGAGAACCUUAUACAGGUGUUCAUUCAUUUUCAUCCAUUAAGUCGUCAAAUUUUUGCUCUUUCUGAACUACGAGCCUUCAAAAUUGUGUGGUUCUGAGCUGUGAUGUAUCUCUGUGGACAGGAAAAGCUAGGGUGCGAAGAAGUGCAUUUGAGUGACUAUUUUGAUUUGUUUACUGGCACUAGCACCGGGGCCAUUUUGGCCACUAUGCUGGUGGUACCGGAUGAGAAGGGCCACCCUCAAUUUUCAGCGAAAGGAUGUUGUGAAUUUUACUCCAAAAAUGGUGAAUACAUUUUCCGCCCACGGUGGUACGACCCCUUUCACGGCUCGGUGCGGCAGUUCUAUAGACCCAAAUACUCGCCCAGAAGAUUUGAGGAUCUGCUGAAGCAGCACACCAUCAUGAAAAACGGAAAGGUGCUCACCUUGGUGGAUGCUUUAAAACCACUUCUGAUUACCUCCUUCGACAUUUCAAGAGCCACUCCAUUUUUCUUUGUUCGCCAGGCUGCAGCGAAUGAUCCGAGCCGUAACUUCACGUGAGGCUUCUUUAGCUUGAUCAGCUUGCCGUUUGCAAUACACUUCCAAUCCCGUAUUGGCAUACUUUACUGUAAGAUAUCCUCAUUAUUGACAGAACACAUUUCGAACAAUUAUACUCUCUACAAUUCGUUCCUUUUCACUCUAACCAUUUUUGUGGGAUUUCAGUUUAUGGGAAACUUGUCGUGCAACGGCUGCAGCACCCACGUACUUCCCGCCUGCAUUUGUGACUUCUGUUGAUGGCAAGUUUUCGGGUACUAUGAUUGAUGGAGGCGCUAUUCAAAAUAAUCCGGUACAAGCCCUAAUGCUCCUUUAUUCUUAGCAACUGCCAAUGUUGAAACAAACCAUGUGAUAUAGAACAAUCACAGAUAAUAGGGUUCAUCUGUCCAUGUCAAGUGUUUCUUUUGUUAUGACAGGCAUUGGUUGCGACAACCCAUGGAUUGGCUAACAACGAAGAUUUUCCAUAUGCAACGAGCCUCAACGAUGUCUUGGUGCACACACUUUCCUGAUCAUCUUCCAAAUCUCUACUGUGUUCAAUAUUCAUGUGAAUUUAGUUUUGCUCAGUACUUACCGUAAGUUCCUUGAAGUAUUACUCUCAAUACACACAAGGUUAAGGUUUGUAAUGCUAAUGUUAAUAUAUGGAUACUCUUGUUGGAUUGGCAGAUAUUGUCUUUGGGGGCUGGACAAGCAGACAACAAGCACAACCUGGAAAAGGCGAAGAAGUGGGGAAUGUCAGGCUGGUUGCGGCCUCUUAUGAGUAUUAUGAUGGACGGCACCUCUGGUGAGCAUUGUCGCAUAGCCACCCAAAUUAUUCAUAUCAAUUCAUCAUCAAGCAUACCCUAGGAGAGAAUGUCCUUUUCCCUAAGCGAUGCAUUUGAGAUCACUGAGAGAAAGCCUUGCAGAGAUUCUGAUAUUAGAAAUGUUGCAUACUGAUCAAGGAUCUCACAUCAUCAUUUUUAUUCAGAUACUGUGGACUAUCAACUAUCUGCCGCUUUUGCUGGGCAUAACUGUGCUGAAAACUAUCUGCGGAUACAGGUGAAACUCCUUGCCGUGUCCUUCGUGAUGCCACAUGAGUAAUUUUGCAUUUUACUACUUCAUUUAAUCUCUCCUAGUGCUAUAACAUGUCAUAGUUCUUUAUUGUACGGCGAGAUAUUCUAAGUUCGGUGUUCCUGGAGUUUCUUUUGUUGAAUAGUUCAUUGAUACAAAGUGGUGUGAAACAGCUUUCUGGACUUCCAAAUAAGACCGCACUUAUGGACUGCUGCACACCCCAGAACAUAUCAGAUUUGAUAAAGUGCACUGAUGAGCUGCUACAGAAGAAAGCGGUCAUGCGGAACGAAAACGGGGACAGAAUCACAUUGGAACAAACGUUUGAUGAACGGCUUUCCUGGUUUGCAGAUCAACUGAUAAUUCAAAAGAAGCUGCGGGAGGAGCCUCCCAAGGACCCCUCCUUCUCUGACCACUCGCUGCCGCCUUACAAGCAGGACGUGAUGGGUCCCCAAGGCCAAAUGGUCUCCCCUUUCUUCGCCCAUAUGUUCGAGCAUCACAAGGACUUCGGUGGGUCGAAGAAGGCAAGGUCUUUCAGAUUCUAGCCCAUCUUUCAGAUCCAUGUGUUGAUGAUUUUCAUGCCUAUUUACAUGAUACUCCGAAGUCAAAUCUCAUCCUUUCAUUUCAUUGGCGCAGCUCUCGUCGAUGUAAAUAAUUCGACUCUCUUGUCCCGAUCAAAGCUGCUGUUCAUUGCAUAGAGGUGGUUUUGUAGAAUGACAGAUUAGUCAAUUGGGUCUACUCAUCUAUUUGAAUUUACAGGCUCAUGUCUCCGCUAAAUAUAAAAAAAUUUUGUAUACUAUCUAGAACAAUGACAUUUCACUGUAACCUUGGUGGAGAUUGACUUCGGGAGUCUAACAAAGUCUUCUUGAGCGUGCACCCCAUAUACGAACGCUCUUCGUUGCUCAGUCUCGUGCACGAGAUAGAACUGAAUGUGGAGCUCUAUCAUCCUGUAGACUAAUCUGCACACAGCACGAAUGUGGACGAUUCUCAAACUAACUACUUUCAACUUCACCUUUCUCUGCUAUUUCCACCAUAAAAUUCUUGAUUUGCCGUCUUUCUUCCGAACAGCUUGUAUUGGCUUGACUUUCACUGUAGCAACGAAUUUCAUUUUCCUUUUGUCAACAAUGGGUAUUGUAUCUCGUGUUGAGACUUCAACUAGUCAAUUGUCUAAAAGUGUUUCCAUCUCUGGAGCUGAGCCCCAAAGUCAAUGAUUGCUCCCUGAGCAAGCUGUUGAAUGACAAAAUGGGCCGGAGUUGUAAUACGUUAAUGUCAAAAAAUUCUAAGAUGGGUCGAAUUAUUGUCACACAAAAGCAGGAGUUCCACCCUUUUGUCGCCAUUUAAUUAACUCGCACAAUCGUCUCUUGGAUUAAUGCUCCGCUCAUUCCUUGUUUUCUGCAUUCUGAAUAUCUUCGUCGUGCAUGGAGGGAUCACACAAUCUCGAACUGAAAACUCCACCAAUAAUUAAUUGCAGUACAAUUCAGCAAUAGUUUUGUACAUUUUUACAUAUAGUUUCAAUUUUGCUGAAAAAGAGCCUCCCAAGGAUGUGUAAAUGGUAACCACCUAACUAGCUAAUAUGCGCAUUAUAUAACGUUUUUGCAACUUUUAAUUUUGUUGUUCGGCAAGGUUUACCAUAGAUUUGUUUCAAAUUUUGUUUGUAAUGGUUUAAAUGGUUAUCACUUGAAGAGUUAUUCCAAAAUAUUGAUAUAACAAGAAGAAUCAUUGGAUAUUGAAUUUAUUGUAUAUUAAAUAUAUUUGUUGCAUACUAUUAUGAGUUAACAAUAAAAUGUUCUUGUGAUUUUAUUUGUUAAAAAUAAUAAAAAUUGCAAUGGGAGAAAAAACAAGGAAGCAAAAAAAUACAAAAAAUUCAAAUAGAUUAUGUCAUUUUUGUCCAAGAAAGUAGAUUAUUAAUUGAGUUUUUUUUAUGUCUUGCUAAUCCUCUAAGAAUUUGUUACAUUGUUCAUAAUAGCAAUACAAGUUGGCAUUGCUUGAAGUUUACUCAUACGCAUAAUUAUAUAUGCUAUAAUACAAUGCAAUUGUUGAUGCUUCAUUGCUUUUUAUUUCUAGUAUAAUUGAUUGCUUAUAACUUUGUUCAGCAAUUGCGUUCGAGGGAAAAAGUCAAUGGUUAGAAAGAAUAUUUUAAAAAAAAAUUAUUUUAAGAAUAGGCAUCUUUUUUCUUUUUAUAAUUAGAAACAUUACUUAAUUGUUCUUAAAAAAAAUUGUGUAUAAAUCCAGAACAAGGUUACAAAAGUUAACUUUUACACUUACCACAUUCACUAAUGUAAUUAUAAGACAUUUAGACUUAAGUAUUCAAAGUAUAUUAACUUGUAUAUUAUGCAAAGUAUACAAGUUAAUAAAUAUUUUUAAAAAAAUAAAAAAUUUUGAAAUAAAUACAAAUAUGUGUAUAUAUGUGUAUGUAUAUAUAUAUUUUGAUGUUUUUCUUUAUAUUCAUAUCAAUAAAGAAAUAAAUAAAUACUUACAAAAGAAUUAUUUUAUAUACUUGAGUAUGUAAAUUAUUAAGAUAAGCAUAGUUUUUGGUAUUUGAUUAAAUAAUUUUUAUUAUGUGAUAGAAAAAUUAAUAUAGAUUAAAUUAAUAUUUAAUAAUUUUCUAUAUUUUCAAAUAUAGAAUAAAUAUUUACAGAUAUAUCUAUAUAUCUAUAUAUAUAUAUAUAUAUAUUUCUCUAUUAUGAAUGCAGUUUUUCAAUGUUAUAUCAAAAUUAUGAACCAUAACUUUUACUAACAUUUAUACUUCAAUAUUCAAAAGUAGAAAUAAAUAAGAAUUUGUAUGUAUUAUAAAUUGAAUUAUUUAAUACACAAGUACAUUUUUUUUUCUUAGAACUAAUUUUAAAAGUACUACAAACAAAAACUUUUACCAAGACACCAAGAUAAAUCAUAAUAAUUCUAACAAGUUACCAAAAAAGUACAGUAAACAUAAAAUAUAUGUAUAUAUUUAUUGGUAAAAUAACUUUAAGAAAAUCAAUAGUAUAAUUUUUUAUUAUUAAUGUCUACAUCUUGAUAAUCCAUGAUAUUUCUGAAGAUAAUAUCAGGCAAAAUAUUUAAUAAUUUUAAAUAAUAUUAAGAAUAAUAAUUAUUUUUUAAUUAUUUUUAAAAAGAAAAAUAUAUAUAUGCAUAAUAUUGUUUAACAUAUUUUUUAAUUUUUAAUCAAUUUUUCUUAUAUAAAUGUUAUUUGAUUUUAGAUAGUUACUAAAUAUAUUUUUCUUCAUUUAAUUACCUUUAAAAAAGAAAAAAAAUUAUAUAUGUAUAUAUAUAUAUAUAUAUAUAUAUAUAUAUAUAUAAUGGUGAUCAAACCAACAAUAUUGAUGUUAAAGCCAUAUUUUUAAGAACAACGUGAAAAUUUAACUUAAAUUAGUAAUAUAUAAGUGCCUUUAAAAUAAUACUUAUAACAAACACAAUACCAAUAAUACUGUAGAAGGUUUUGAAAUUUUAUAUCUAAAGAUUCUUUUAAAAUAUAUAUAUAUAUAUAUAUAUAUAUAUACGUAUUCAUAUUUUGGUAUUUAGAUUCCUCAAAUUAGUACUUUUUUAGUUUUUUAAAUCAAUAGGUAAGAAUAUAUAAUAUUCAAUAAAAUAAAAUUAAAAUUAAAUUAAAAUAUGAAUAUUCGUUGCUAUUAGCUUACAUUAAUAUUAAUAAUCAUUUUUUAAAAUAAAUAUUUUUUCUAUUUAUAUGUUUUACAAACAUUUUAAGUUACAUAUGAUUGAUAUUAUUUAAUUAGAAAUAGUAUUAAUAUGAAGCAUACAUAGACAUAUUUAAAUACCUAUUGUUAUUAUUUAACAAAUGAACAUAUAUAUAUAUAUAUAUAUAUAUAUACACAUACACACACACAAAGAUAUAUUAUCAUCGAAUCUUAUAUCUUUUAUUUAAUUUAAAUAUGCUUCGGAUUUUAUGUUUAAAAAUUAUUAAUAAUUUUAUAUUAUUUUUCUUUGAGUUUUUUCACUAUAAUUAUAGUUAAAUAUAUGAAGUAGAAUAAAAAUAAUUUUAAAGAAAAGUGAUUUUAACAAAAAAGUUAACUUAGAAAUCAUAUGUAGACAUGCUUAUCUUUAAUCUUAAAAAAUAAUAAUAAUAAUAAAAAAAUAUAAAAUUUGAUUUAAGUUUGAAAAUUUUAAAUAAUUUACAUGCACCACCUUUCAUUUCAUUGAAUAACUCAAAUUUCAAAAAUACAUAUUUUUUCAAAAAAUGAAUAUAUAUAAAUAUUUAUAUAUAUAUAUAUAUAUAUACACACACACACACAAAAUUGAUACAUUGACUGGGGUUUUUAUUAAAUUGACCAAAUUUUAAUCACACUAUCUUAUUGUAUACUAUAUAAUAAAAUACUUUGCACACAUAUCAAUUUAAUGAUAUUGUGCUAAUUUGAUAUGUAUAUACGUAAUCUGGGUAAUGUGGGCACAUGUCAAUUUAAGAAAAAGAUUAUGUGUUAAAAUUAUGUGGUACACAAAAUGAUACUGUGACCAAAACCCAGUUAACAUAUCAAUUCCCACAUUUCUAUGUGUAUCUAUAUAUAUAUAUAUAUAUAUAUAUAUAAAUAGUUUUUAUCAAUGAUGCCUCUCUGCACAAACCCACAAUUGCAUCACCAACAAUCUCGUACUCACUCUCCAGUCUUCAAUUCCCAGGCAUGAAGACCCCCCCCCCUCCCCCAGCCCAAGUGGAUUCUCACAUCUGCAAAUGCUGCCAAGACAGAGACUGGGAAGCUGAUGGGUCUUAUGAAGACCCAUAGUGGAGACAUGUCAAGUCUCAGUUAAAACCCACUAGGGAAUACAACCUGGCAGGCAGAGACUCUCUCUCUCUCUCUCUCAUUCAGACCAAGACCAGGAGAAGAAGAAUCCUGGUGGGGCCUCCUCAUUUAAGACUGGAUAGUGCAAAAUAACUGGCUGGGCUGGACUGGGUCUCAUUCAUUAAGACCCAGACUUGGUGGAAUCUAUUGUAUGGGUCUCCAAGGCUGCAAGGGAGUAAUUAAUCAAUAGCAACCGCAUACAUACAUACAUACAUAUAUACAUAUAUAUAUACUACUCUGGACGGGAACAGGUCCUUGUCUCUCUCUCUGGGCCAGCGGUCAUGAGACCCAACAGAACUCAAGCGAAUUGUGAAGCUUUUAGUAAUAAUAUCAUCUACAUUGGACACACUCAUAUAUAUAUAUAUAUAUACAUGUAUUUAUAAAUAAAGGGGAAUAAUAAAUAGACCCAAGUUUUUACAAAAUUGUUCUACCCAUCAUGAAAAAAACAAAUGUCCAGAUUCAUUUCUCCAUGCAUGUUUGUAUUGUGUUUUGAUUUUAAAUAAUACAACAUUUUUUAAAAAUAAAUUCACUCUUGUCUCAUUGAAGAAGAGAGAAAGUAGGAGAAAAGACAUAGAUUUAAGAUAGAAGAGAAUCAAAACAGAUAUUACUAAAUACAAUUAUGUUAAAGAGUCUUCAACAAAGACCAAAUAUAAAGAAAAACAUUGACAAGAUUGAAGAUGGUAUCACUCUAGUCUCUGUAUAUUAAGUACCAAGCAGCCCUUGUAGAAGCUUCCUAAGAACCAAAGACUUGUGGUCUAAAUGUCAAGUCAUAUAAUACUUGCAGCAUAGCUUCUUGAAAGUAAGAAACUUAUGUAACAAAUUUGAAUAAUCAUGUGGCUUACUUUUAGAAAUUUAAAGAUCUAAUAUGCUUGGAGAAAAAAUCUUUAUAAUUUUGUAGGGAAUAGUAUAUCCACCUAACAUAAUCUACCUAUGUCUACUUACUUUUAUUUACUGAAGUAAUGUGGACAUUUGUUACUUCAAGAAAUUUUUUAAUUUUAAUGAAAUCUAGAAUAAGUAUUGUCUUAUCUAGAAUAAAAAAAUGUUAAGUUUUUGGUCUUGUUAAAUCUACAUUGUCCUUUCUAAAUGUUGUCAAAAUAAUAAAUAUAUUUUUGAUAAAUAGGAUGUAUAAAUAUAAAUUAAUCAUUUUCAGUAAAAAGUACCAAAUUUACUCUAUUAAGCUAUUUGUAACUUGAUGAGAUUUAGUUUCUAAAAUGUAAUUGUAUUUAUGAAGCAUCUUCUAGAAGAACCUUAAUUAGUUAAACUUCUUUAAGUAUAAAUCUUCUAAAUAAUUAUUUAGCUUACAUCAAUAGAAUAGAUGAUUUCAAUAAUUUAUUAAUUUAGAUAUGUUGAUUUGAAUAUUUAGGUAUUUUCUUAUUUAUAUUAAGAUUUAAUUCUGCUCUAAAUACGUAAUUUUUUAUAAAAUCAAAUAUAUAUAUAUAUAUAUAUAUACAAAUAAUAUAUUCAAUUUCUAUGUAUUAUGAAAAAUAUUAUUCGAUCUAUAUAAAAUAAAAAAGAAUUUCUUGGCUGCAUAAUUUGAAGGUUUUAUAAUGAAAGUUUCUUCCACACGAUUUUUGUUGUCAUGUAUAUAUAUAUAUAUAUAUAUAUGGAUAAUAAGUAGUUUGGAAUUAAGUAUUUUAUAAUAUCAUGUAAAAUUUUAUUAUGUAGGAAGGCAUAUUGAACAAGUUUUGUAUUAUUCUAUUUCUAUUAUGUUUAUUUUGUACAUUGACAUCCAUUAGAAACCAUAAAGUCCAGUUGCUUAGAAACCAAUAAAAUGUUUUCUUGGUAGCAACUUACUUGAUAUAAUACUACUGUGCAGUAUCCUAUUAAUAUUGUGUGCUAGAAUACUAUUCCUUUAAAAUUUUAAAAUUAAUCAUUCUUUAAACCAAAACAUGAUAGAAUGUUAUUUUACACAAUAUUAUUAAUUAAGUUCAUAAAAAGAAAUGCAUUAUUUAUACUACAAAAAAAUUAUGCUUUAAUUUCUUUAAUAUUUACCUAAGUCAUUAUUUCAGUAAUUAUAUAAUAGAUAUAAAAUUAAUCUAGAAAAAAAUAUGUAUCUCCUAUUUUUUUUUGAUAUUUUUUUUUAAGAUACUAACUCUUUUAAAUUUUUUUUAUUUAAUAAAUUAUGCCCUUGAAAUUUAUGAUAUAAGGUAGUUGGAUACUUUAAUUAAAAGAAUCCUGGAAUUUAAAUCUAAUAACAAAUAUUUGAAAAUAAAAUUGAGUAAAAAUCUUCUAAUCUAUUUUUCAUUAUUAAUUUUUUGUUGAUAAUAAACUGAAAUUUCUAAAAUAAUAAAAAUAAAUAUUGCAUCAUCCUAAAAAAGGAUAAGUCUAUUUUUAUAGGCAUUUCUAAGGUAGAUAUUCAAAGUACACAUAUAAGAUUUUAGAAAACCCCAAUUGAUACAAAAAAAGAUUAUUAAUAGCAUCAACAAUAAUAAGAACUUUAUUAAUAUUAUCUUUUGAAAGCACAUAAUAAUAUUAUAAAAUUAUGAAAUUUCUAAAAAUAUCCAAUAAAAAAUCAAAAAAUUCAAGGACCUUGUAGGAUAAUUUACACUUCUUAACUUAGUAGUGAUAGUAGUUACCAUCAUAAAAAUCUUGUCAUUGAAUUGAAUACCAUCCUUUAAAUACUUGAUUUUUCUAUUGAGAACUAUGAUUAUUAUGAAAUCAUAUUCUGGAGUUUAUGGCAUUCAAAAUAUUAUAUGAAAUUUUAAUUUAAAAAAAUAAAAAAUAAAAAAAUUGUAUAACCAAAAAUGAUGCAACAUUGGUUAGACACCAAUAUAAGAGAGGAUAUAUUGCCAUGUACAAGGUGAACUAUAUAUUUUCUUUGAUUGUAAUAAACAAAAAAAAUUAUCAUGAAUUACAUUAAAAUAAAAAUAGAAUAGAGUAAAAAUAUUUUAAAGAAGUGCAAUGUACUAAGAUUAUUAAUGUGAUAGAUAAUUAAUAAUUUAUUGUAAAAAAUAUAUAUAUGUAUACAAAUAAUUAAUUAAUUAAAAAAGUAAACCUUGCAUGUUUUAAGAAUAGAUUAAAACCUUGAAUUAAAUUUUAAAAAAACUCAAAAAAUUAUGUUAUGUAUGUGGUAUUUAUGAUUUUUUUAGGAAAAAAAACUCAUAAAACUUAAAAAUUAAAGAAUAAAAAUAAAUAAAGCAGAAAAAAUUACAAAUUUUAUUUUAAAUAAGUUGAUGAAAAGGCAUUUCUCUAUAUGAUAAUCAAAUGAAUAAAAUUAGAAAAUUCUUUUAGUGGUGGUAAACAGAGUAAUUCUCAACCACCAUAAUGAUUUUAUAUACUUUUGAUGGGCAGGUUUAAUUACAAAAGUAAAUAAAUAAAAAUAUAUGUUUCAAAAAUCAGAUUGAGUAUGUGUAAUCAAGUUAUUAAAAAUAUACAUUAUGAUAUAUGUUUAAUAAAUAUUCUCAAAAAAUAAUUGAUUAAUAGUUUUAAAAUUUUAAAAUAUAAAAAUUAACCUGUACAUAGUUUAAUAAAGAUUUUUUUUUGUGAUAAAUUAUUUAAGAUGUUGGUCAUGUAUCUAAUAAAAAAUAACUUAGGUAAAAAAAAUAUUGAGGUUGAAAAAUUGCGAUUUAAUUAUCUCAUAAAGAUGUGAUAAAAUAAAGUGAAGACUAAUUUUUGGCUUAUUAAACAUAAAAAAAUUAAAACAAGUUUUCAUAGCUACAAGGUGCACAUUAAAAUUAUAUACAUAUUUAAUAUUCUUAUAUUUAUUUUUGUUGAUGUUUCUUAAGAAAUAUAUUAAAUAUCUAACAUAAUUUUACCUUCUUCUAUUUGUUUCUAUUAUUUUAUGUGGUUUAGAGAUCUAUAUGUUAUCUUAAUCUCUCAUUUAGAGAUAAUUUUAAUUAGCAAUAGUAGCAUUAUAAUUUCAAAAAUUAAUUGUAAUUAGCAAUAAUAACAGGAUUUUUCUUUUAUAAAUUUUACUAAAAAUUUAAAUCUAUGCUUUGCAAAAAGAUAAUAUAUUAUAUUUCAGAUACUCAAAUAUUCUUAAAAAGAAACAUAUUUUUUACCAUAAAUAUUAAAUUUAUUGCAUAAAUAUUCCAUUAGCUAAAUCAUUUGAGUUUGAAAUGCGCAUGAUUAAAAGAGAGCAUAUUACAAAGACAUACUAUUCUUGAUUUAAAAUUUAGACCUCUUGUCAUAGAGCCUCCAAUUCAAACUUUGGUAGUAUAGACAUAGAUUUGUUCAUAGUUCAAUAAUAUAGAGUUUAGCUAAAUUUUGCUAUAAGUUUGGUUAAGAUUCAAUGAUCAUCUCUAACAAAACUUUAAAUAGUGUUAUAUUAUAUCAAUGUUAGUUUUCAAUUCAACUCAACAUUGUUGAUUUCUAUCAUUAGAAACAAGUUGACAACAAAACUUCUAUUCUAAAGAAUUUUGCAUCAAGUACAAUUGUAAGUUUGAUUACAAAAAUAAAACUUUGAUUAAAAAAAGAUAAGAGAAUACAUAGAAAAUUAGGUUUUUACAUGUGAGCUAAAUGAGACAAUUAAUUUAAGAAAAUAUUAGGUGAACACUACUUUUUUAUUAUUUAAAAACCUUCUAUUUACUAUGUCAAUACCUUCUUGUGGUACAUCAACAACAGAAUAAAGCUACAAUUUUUUUAAUAAGCUAGCUACUAAUGAAGCUAAAAAAAUGUAUUAAAAAAAAAAAAGAAAAAAAAAAAAGAACUACAACAUUAAAACAUUAGCAAUAAAAAAGCUAAUCAAAGCCAACAAAUCAAGCACAAAAAAGAAGGGUAUCUUCAAAGAAGAACCACUAUGUAGACACUCCUAUUCAUUUUUUUGCUUUAUUUAGCUUCAACUUAGCUGAUGUUCUUAUGUUGUACUUUUUCUUUCUUUCUUUCUUUCUUUUCUUUGUUUUUCUUUUUUUUUUCUUUCACUAUAAUAUUAUAUUAUCUUUUAAUCUCAUUGAUGUCUAGCUUGUUAAAAAAACUUUUGGCUUGGGUGUAUUAUUGGUACGGCAUAAAAGUAUGUCCAUGCAGUAAAAAGAGGUUGUUUAUUUAUUAGUUUUUUUGAGUUAAUAGAAUAACAAGAAUCAUGAAGAAAGAGUGAUCCAGAUAGCCUCUCAAUCUAAUCUUGAUGCAUGUCCACAUUAAAACUUUGAUUUAUACUAAAUGUUUUAGAAGUAAAUUUACGUCAAAAAAUUCUCAAAAUGAAGUCAAUAAUAUUUUAAAAUAAAAUUAAAAGUAAAUUGAUAUAGUUUUUAAUCAAAUUAUACUAUUUUUACUUUACAAACAUAAAAAUUAUGGUAAAAAAAUUAACUGAAUUCUCUAAUAUUGGGUGGUAUUCUUUAUAAAUAUUUGGAACAAAAUUAAAAUAAUGGUAUAGCAUUCAAUGAUUUGCUUGUUUCAAACAAUGUAGUGUUAUCAAAUAUAACCAAUGGAUGACUUGUAACAAUUUAAAUUUUAAAACAAUUCUGAGGAAUGAUAAAUUUUAAACAUACAUUAUGCAAAAGGUUCCACCUCUAUUGUUUUAUGAGAGGGUCGGAGCAUUACUAAUACAAUAAUCUUCUAUGCCAUUAAUAAAUAAAUAAAUAAAUAAAACUUUGUUCAUGAACACGAUAGAAUAAAAUCAUAUAUUUAUUAAUAAUAAAUACAGAUUAAUAAAAAUAGACAAUUUCUUAAGCUUUAAGAACAUUUAGUUUAUAUUCAAUUAAAAUUUUAUGAAAAGUCCUAAUUCUUUGAAAAAUAUGAGAUUUAAACCAAAAUGUAGAUUUCUAAAUCGAUGAGGGCAGAACUUUAAACUUGGGCAAUGACUUGCACUAAAGUUGUGCCAAAAAAAAGAACUCUUAGGACAACACACAUACAAUUUCCAUUAACUUCUGAUUACAUUAGUUUUGACUAAAGAAUUAAUGCUUUAAAAAAUCAACAAAGUUUGAUUCAAAUGAAUAAGUUUAUUGUCAAAAAGAAAUAGAAACUAAGUCCAUAGAAGUUUGUGCAAUAAUUUGACAACUUCCUUUGCAUGGAUGUGUUCCUUUUCUCCUUUUUUUUUUCUUUUUUUUUCCUUUAUACUCCCAUAAAUAUAUUUAAUUGAUGUAAGUUUGUAUAUUUUAGUGUUAUAAAGCAUUUUGCUCAAAAAAACAUGGGACCCCAUCCCUCUAUUUUAGAAAGGCAAAGCAUCAUGGCCAAAUCUAUUUCUCUUAUAGACAUGGAUCCACAUAAAAAGGCUACUUAUUCCCGUUCCUAGGGUCAUUACAUUACAUGUUUAUAGUUUGUUAUUAUUAUUUUUUAUGUGUGAUUUUGACCCUUGGUCAAUAUAAUAUAGAAAUGCUCAUUGUAUUGAUAAGGCACACCACGUAAUGCUCUAUCAACCAUUAAAACUCAUGUCCAAUCCAGUUUGCAUACUAUCCCAAAUGAGCCCAUUCUUUUGAGCCUACAUGGCACUUGGCAUGGCAUUUGGGGAUCAUUUAUAUGCCACAUGGACUCAAAGGCCUUGGAGGUGGUGCCACAUAAGCAAGAAUGCCAUGCGGGCACAUGAGCAUUUGAAGGAGGUGCCAUCCAUAGUGUAAUAUAAAAAAGUAAUGAGAAAUUGACCUCCAAAUAGUGGUUCAUGCUUAGACCUUGUCCAAUCCAAACAGUUUCAGAUAAGUUUUAAGUGGAAAAAACAAAAAAAACAAAAGGAAAGAAAAAAAAUAAAACGAAGAAUGAGAGAAUGAAUACACACACACACACACACACAUAUAAAUAUAUAUAUAUAGAAAGGUAUCCAUACAUGGUAGUAAUUCUUUGGCACUGAAAUAAAAUUAGGAAUAAUAAUAAUAAUAAUAAUAACAGUAUUAAUUUAGGAUGACCCAUGUACAUAGAUAGAUACAGUGAAGAAGAUUGGAAUAGGAACUUGGAAAUUUCAACAAUGAACAUUGAUACACAUCUAUGCUUGGGUGUAUUACUUAUAUUUACAGCAUAGUUGCGGAUUCUCGUUGCUUGUCUCCAAAGAUAAACUUAGAUAAUGUGUAGUUUUGUAUGUAUGUGAAUAUUACACUCAAUGGAACCCCGUAAUUUUAGUCACAGUAUCUACAAUUGAAACUAAUUAUAUCCUCGCAGUUUUUUUGAUGGUGUGAAACCUUUAUGCCGUGUCUUCAAAAACUUUUGGAAAUUCAUGAAUAAGAAUGAGAUUGCGUUUCAUGAGGUCCACAGAAUCUCAUUCCAUUAAUGAGGAAGAAAACUAUUCACCUGUCAUCAAAGGACUACCAUAUUUAGGCUGCUUGGAAUAUCCUUUUUCAUUUAUUGAACUGUCUGCACAAUAACAAUUAGUGUCCACAUGUCUAUGAAUGUAGUCCCAUGUCAGCCCAUUUGACCUAUGGAAAUGGGUAAGAAUUUAUAUAUAUAUAUAUAUAUAUACAUAUUUGUGUGUUUAUAUAUAUAUAUAUAUAUGUAUAUCUAUAUCUAUAUACUGGAUAAAUAAAUAAAUAUGUAUGAUCUUAUUUUUUGGAGUGUGCCAGUGUUUGAGAUGAUGCUUAGAAAAGCUGACUGUGAGUACUCCACCAAGUCAUCGACACAGAUCAUAUAAUAAUUGAAACCUGUUUUUUUUAAUAGUUUUUUCUUGAAAAGGAAUAAAUUUGACGUUUUCACAAUGGGCAUCAAGGCCAUAUUUGCUUGGACGUUUUGGCAUGAUGUUCAUGUGGUUAAUCAAAAUGGUGUCAGAAUAAUCCACAUCAGGGUACCAAUCAUUUGAGCCACAGUCUGUUACAUAAUGUGGAGGGAUGCAUUGUGGAAGAAAAUGUGGAGUCAUUUUAGGUCAAUUGGUAAAUUGGGAAUUUAAUGUUUUUUAAUUAGCUAGGGCUGUGAACAAAUACCACAAUAAUGUUGUGAUGUCUUGUAAAAGUCAGAGGUUUGAAUGUAUAGACCAAAGAACAUGUCAGGCAUGGGAUCUUGUGUUCUUGAGAGAGUGUAAACAUAUAUCUGAGAGGGGUUUAUACACAUAUAUAUAUAUAUAUAUAUAUAUAUGAAAUAGACUGUAACCCAUGUGCCAUGUAGACAGUAACCUAAAUCACAAACACUUCGUGUACCAGUUCAGAUUCCAUGAAAUUAAUGCACCAAACAUAUUCAAAUAUAAAACAUGUCAGAUCAGAUUUCCCCUACUAUCAAUUCGCACUUUGUACCAUGAAACAUUUAUUGAUAUGUACGUAUCAUCGAUAAAUGUUUCAUGAUCUGGAAAAUCUGUUCUAAGUGAUUCUAGUCUGCUCUAUAUCAAAGAAUCGUUUGGUACUCUAAUAAACAGAGGCUUUUUGUGUGUGUGUGUGAAUGCAGAUAUACCUACACACAUAUGUACAUGUAUGACUGUAGAAAGAUAAGCAGUGACCAUUUCUCCAGUAUGUCAUACACAAGGAAAACUAAAAAGACUAGUAUUCUAAAAGGUAAAGGAUCCCACAAGAAAAGGGAUUAUUUAAAACCUUUGGGGCGGAAUGUGACAUUUCUAGUAGCGGUUAUAGCCAGAGGCGCAGUGGCUGCUGACUCUCGUCAAGUCCACUGUCGGCUGCCAGGCUGGUGCACGAAACCAAGCUUCGACGAGUCACACAGUCGAAGAGCAUCUUGCCACGAAGGACAUAGAAAUGGGUUUAGAAGCACAAAGUCAAGGAGAAUCGGUGGAGGUAUUUCAUGGACCGGUGUCGAUCUUCUCGGCAGCUGAUGCUUCGAUGACCUGAUCCUCCACCAGCGCUGGAGGAGGAGGACGAAGGGACAUAAGUAUAAGAUGUAAUGUGUAGAAUGGACAAAGAUAGAAAGUAGCUCGACAGAGAGUCGUCGGGUGUGGGUUCGACGAGGGAUCGCAUCCUACAAGUGCACACUAAGAGCCAGCGUCGCAGGUUGACCUUGAACUCGGCAAGGGGACCCAAAAUUACCACGCUAGUGAAACUCGGCAAGGGGACCCAAAAUUACCACGCUAGUGAAACUCGGCAAGGGGACCCAAAAUUACCACGCUAGUGAAACUCGGCAAGGGGACCCAAAAUUACCACGCUAGUGAAACUCGGCAAGGGGACCCAAAAUUACCACGCUAGUGAAACUCGGCAAGGGGACCCAAAAUUACCACGCUAGUGAAACUCGGCAAGGGGACCCAAAAUUACCACGCUAGUGAAACUCGGCAAGGGGACCCAAAAUUACCACGCUAGUGAAACUCGGCAAGGGGACCCAAAAUUACCACGCUAGUGAAACUCGGCAAGGGGACCCAAAAUUACCACGCUAGUGAAACUCGGCAAGGGGACCCAAAAUUACCACGCUAGUGAAACUCGGCAAGGGGACCCAAAAUUACCACGCUAGUGAAACUCGGCAAGGGGACCCAAAAUUACCACGCUAGUGAAACUCGGCAAGGGGACCCAAAAUUACCACGCUAGUGAAACUCGGCAAGGGGACCCAAAAUUACCACGCUAGUGAAACUCGGCAAGGGGACCCAAAAUUACCACGCUAGUGAAACUCGGCAAGGGGACCCAAAAUUACCACGCUAGUGAAACUCGGCAAGGGGACCCAAAAUUACCACGCUAGUGAAACUCGGCAAGGGGACCCAAAAUUACCACGCUAGUGAAACUCGGCAAGGGGACCCAAAAUUACCACGCUAGUGAAACUCGGCAAGGGGACCCAAAAUUACCACGCUAGUGAAACUCGGCAAGGGGACCCAAAAUUACCACGCUAGUGAAACUCGGCAAGGGGACCCAAAAUUACCACGCUAGUGAAACUCGGCAAGGGGACCCAAAAUUACCACGCUAGUGAAACUCGGCAAGGGGACCCAAAAUUACCACGCCAGUGAAACUCGGCAAGGGGACCCAAAAUUUCCACGCCAGUGAAACUCGGCAAGGGGACCCAAAAUUUCCACGCCGGUCGCAGUGCAGGAAUUUCACUGGCGUGGCGUUAAUGCGGGGUCUCCCACGGCGGUGAGUUCUCCACUUUUCUGUGUAUGAACAGAAAAGGGAGAAGGAUUCUUACUGCGCGUCGUCUCGCAAACAAACGAUCAACUGUUGUUCAAGAUAAAGUGGAAAACCCAGUUGAAUAGAUCGCGGACGGGAUUGCAGGGCUGUGCGUCUGUGCUCUUGCGCUGGCCACCCACGACGAUCCACGAGAAUUGUUUACGAUUUUCCCCUGAGACUCAUCUCAACGCUCCACUGGAGGAAUCUGAUGGUCACUGCGAAGCUGUUUGGGCUUGAAUCCCUGAUUGCUGGUUGUAAGUCGAAAACGAGGCGAAAUACAACACGAAAUUACAAACCUAUUGUUUGAUGCAUCGAGAUCUAAGACUAUGACCCAGUUAAAGCAGCAGGCUACAGCUUGAUCAUUGAAAACAAAGGGUCUUGUCGGAUUGUACUAAAAUAUGCACUCAUUCCGAGCACCGCAACGACUGCAAACAACCCGCGCAGAGGGUAGGGGUGCUGGGCCCGCUCAGCCCACGUACUGGAACUGCAGGUAGGAUAGGGGCUACAGCGUAAGAGCUUUUCUACAGUGAUGCGAAUCCUGGAAUUCCUAGCCCUUCGUUUGCGCCGGCAUCACGCAACCAGCUCACUCUUAUGUCCAAAGUUGUCAGCUCGGGGCGGCUGGGGGGCGCACUCGCGUUGCUAAUACCCCAUGCUCUCCCCCUCAGACCAGCAAACAGACUCGGUACGAGUCACAGUCCUCUUUGGGAGCAGCAGCUCUGAGGCUACCUUCCCUUUUCUCUUCUUCGACUCUUUCUGUCUCAGGUACACAGCACUGGGCCUUAGAUUUUCACUGUGCAGCCAGGAGCUGCACCUCUCCUCAUGCUUGGAGUGUGGAUAGUGGUACUUAAUUUCGUUGAAGUUGUGAGUGUAGGGGUUCGUGUGGUUCAUAAAUCACGUUACAAUAAUCCUGAGUCAGGGUGGAUGAUGUUGGUGCUAAGACUUGGUAUUACCGAUGUGGUGUUCUCAGAAUUAGGCAGUUGAAGGGGCAAUUGCGCGCACACCGAUUGGUGCAGCGCACCUGGUGUUGAAUCAGCUGGGACUGGUGCCGUGGUGAGAGGGGGUUCAAUUGGUUGUGCGUUGCGGUACAGACAGUUCAGUAGUUACAGUGAGAACCUGCAAACAGGGAAGUUUUAGUUUAGACUGGCGUAAUUCAGACUGAUGAGCUAAGUCAAGCUUGGUGCUUCUUUCGGUGGCCGUGGUGGGUGUCUUCGAGACUGGAACCACGGUACCUGUCUCCGAUAAAAGCAGGUCCAAUGACCCGCUUUCAUCUGCAGGGGAUGGAAGCGACUGCCACUACCAUGGUGGUUACGGCUCUCUUGGUCUCUCUGUUCAUGGUGCAAGCAGCAGCUACUAGUGCACCUGCAACCUCGCCUGCUCCUUCACGUACGCCACUUCCUCAUCUCUCCUGUGUUUUGAAGUUUUCCAAAGAACUGGUCAUUAGCUUCGUCAAAAGUUUAGUGUUUAGGCCCUCACAGAAUCAACUAGGUCAUGGAAACCAUAUCUUGCGAGUCAAACGCUAAUUAUUAUGUAUAUAGAUUUAGUAAUUUACAAUAUGGGAAACAGUCAACAAGGAUCUUUUGUUCUUUUCUUCAAAUUCUGAUGUUAAAUUGACCUUUUGUUUUUUUAUUUCAUGUUACACAUGAAGAUGUUAGAUACCUCAGCUGAAAGACCUCGUGAUGGUGCAUAUGUUUCUAUGACAUGGGACAUGGUUACUUUGAACCCGGUUCGUCCCAAUCAGAAGCACUAAUACGAGAUUUUUGUCGUCAAGCAGACCCUUUCUUCGGAAACCGAACGACUGGAAACCAUCCUCCGGGGCACGGCGGUCAUCCUCAAGGAACUGGACGUCAUGGAUAUGCAUGGAGCAAGUGGAGAGCCUACAUCGCUCUGCAAUGCUGGAAGAAGGCUAUCACCGAAGAUCCCAACAAUAUCCUUGCGAGUUGGAAUGGGAAGGAUGUCUGCAGUUACAAAGGAGUAUAUUGUGCUCCUCCACCUGAUCCCAAGUACUCUUACCUCACGGUUGUAGCCGCAAUCGAUUUGAACGGUGCGCAACUGAAGGGUACUUUGGUGCCGCAGUUGGGCGAACUUCGAGAGAUUGCUCUGUUCCACUUGAAUAGCAAUCGAUUCUAUGGAGGAGUGCCAGAUUCAUUCCGAUACAUGAAGUUGUUGACUGAACUGGAUCUUAGCAACAACCAGUUGGGCGGGGACUUUCCGAAAGUCGUCUUGGCCAUCCCCAAGUUGGCUUUCUUGGAUCUCCGCUUUAACACGUUCUAUGGCAAGCUGCCGAGUGAGCUGUUCUCAAAGCGUACUUUACAAGUGAUCUUUGUGAACAACAACAAUUUUGAAGGUACUAUGCCGAGCAACUUCGCUCAGUCCGAAGUCGCUGCCCUUGUGCUUGCCAACAACAAGUUUCAAGGAAACAUUCCUAAGACCAUUAAUAAUAUGAGCAACACCCUGUACGAGAUUCUGGCUUUGGGCAACGAAUUCGAUGGUGGAAUUCCUGACGGUAUUGGUAAUUUGAAAAAUCUCCUGCUCUUCGACUACAGUUCCAACAAAAUCAACGGAGGGUUGCCAGAUAGCCUUCAAAAUUUGCAGGCUCUCGAAAUAUUCAACAUGAGCAAGAACUAUAUGGGCGGAGCAGUGACUGCCGAGAUCUGUCAGCUGAAAAAUUUGUCGGCUCUAGCUCUCAGCGACAACUACUUUAAUAGUCUUGCGUCUGCAUGUAAACAGAUUAAUCAAACGGUGUUGAAUGUCACUGGAAAUUGCCUUUUUGCCGAUAAAAUUCCUGAUCAGAAGGAUAAGGAUACAUGCGCAAGGUUUUACGGGUGGAGUCCACCUCCUCCUCCUCCAUCCCCCCCACCACCUUCCCCUCCUCCUCCUUCUCCCCCACCACCUUCCCCUCCUCCUCCUUCUCCCCCACCACCUUCCCCUCCUCCUCCACCUCCAUGCCCCUAUGGUUACCAACCCGGCAAGUAUUCGGGCACUUGUUUCAUGCUUGUCACGCAUUGCAAGACCUGGGAGUACGCCGAACAUUACUGCAACCAGCAAUCGGGCGGUCACUUGGCUGCCGUGGCUGACUGGGACGAGCUGAAGGAUGUUGGCGAGCUCUGCGCACAAUCAAACGUAACAGUUCAGGGUGACUCGAGCGAUCCUAAGGGACUUGGUUGCUACGUAGGUGGAAGGAGACCUUGCAAUCUCUCACCUGCGACGAAUGGAUGGAACUAUCCAGGUUCUCCUUGCAUUGAUGUCCCGUCUCUGUGGAACAUGGGAGAGCCUAACAACUACGGAGGUCAAGAGGCCUGCCUUGGAGUUAAGUACGAAUCCGAUGCCCAGGCUUAUGACAACAGCUAUCUUCCUUUCAUGCUCAACGACUUGAGAUGUGAUAUCCAGCUUCCGUUUAUCUGCACCUUGACGCGCUGUAGCGACUAUGGAUGUGGGAUGUCCAAGACUUGCAAGACUCUAGGCGACCACAACUCUACGUGUAGCUGGGACGACAGUGCUGCCGUUGGAUACAAAUGCCAGUGUAGUGAAGGUUACUUUUCGGAUGAUUCUGGUACUUGUUCCCCCAAGUAAGUUAUUUUCUUUGUCAAGUUCAGUACUGAUACCAGGUGUGUGAGGAUACCCAAGCUGCCAAAAACGCGGCAAAGGCGGAUGGAAUGGAUGAUCAGUUGCUGUAACUACUUCACUUCGACGAAUUUGGAUUAGCAGCAGUCGAUGGUGGUGUUCUAGCCAUUAGGGGUUUAACAGAUCAGGGAGGGUUGUUAUUAGUCAGGGCAAUCGAAGACUGUUCAUCGCCUGCGUCUAACACUUUCAAUUCCCACACAUACGGGGGGUUGGGACUUCGAAGUGGGUUUGAAUAAUUAGCAACAGCCAUUUAUUGAUAUCUACCAUUUAGUUGAUAUCUUGAGGUGGUGAGCUUCAAAAAGGAUAAUGGAGCCCUGCGGCUACGACUGCACCCAGUUCGAAUGAGUUGCCCCACUGCCGAACCUCUGGCUGUGAAUAGAUUCUUUUAGAGUUUUCUUUUUCUUGUGAAUGUGGUAUUAUGUUGACACCACAAACGUUUUAUCUUGUUUGUUACCAGCUUUCAAUAAGACAUCUGGGGGCAGCUGUUUAAUUUUCACUGAACCAAUCCUUCGUGACGGUUUUGUUUUUCCCUCUCUGUACGCACUGCACAUUUCUUUCAAUUAAGUGUAUUGAACUCCAAUGCUUUUUCGUAUCCAUUUCUCAUAUCGUGGUAUUUUAUUUGCAUGCAUUAGUUGUCUGUUGUUGUAGUUGUUUAGAUGUGAGCCUUGUCAUGUCAGACUGUUGUCCAUCAUCGACAAUUUUUCAAGACAAGAAGUCGCAUUUGUGGUUCUUGAACAUUUCAUUAAAGUUCAUUAUGUUCUAAAAAAUAUUUGUCUGUACAUAAGAAAGAUUGGUUACAAUCUUCUAUUCUCUUGAAUUACAGUGUAUGUACUCUUUCCACUUUUGCACACUACAGAAUUUUUAGCUGCUACAUCACAUCCACAUGGACUAUUGAAGCACGUGUAUUCUUUACGUCUUUAUCCACAAAGCCGAAGCAAGAUGUUAGUCUCAGAUACAUUAUUUAAUGGGUCUGUAGAUGAGAAACAACCCUGUUAGAAGACAACGCCAGCCACCAGCAGAGACCACGAAAACCUUGUCCCAGCAAUCACAAGCAUUUUUUAAUUUGGACCGAUUCGAAAAGCACACUGGAACACUCUGGAAGGAGUCUUUCGCUAGGUGGGCAACCCAUGGCAAGCAGUAGCGACUACAAAUCACCAGCCUGGAGAAUCUGGAAAAAGAAGGUGUAGAAACGAAAACAACAGAGAAUAAGUUAACGCAGCGCAAGGCAAGUGCACCUCAUGAAAGUCACCAGGCAUACAUGAGGUGUUGUCUUCCAGGGAAGGAAAACCCAAGAGAGUUGGAUUGUCAUUGACCCAUUACUCAUCGAUGAACUGGUUUCGCCUUCCAACCGACGAUUACACAAAGCUGGACUACCCUCAAUCUAAACGAUUCACGACGUCCACUUUCCUGGGCUUUCAUAUCCACGGCUCAGGUUCUCGACUAAUGCGAACCCCGAUCACUUCCACCCAACUGCAGGAAUCUGUUAUCAACUGGUCCAAAAAGUUGACUGCAGACUCAGGUCAGGUUCUAGGUGGAAGUCCAGCACUUCGCUUACUGGAGCUAUUCCUUGAGAAAAUGGUGCAGCUGCAGACAACCAAUGAAGCGAGUGUAAUGAAGUUCUCACGGUUGAUUCUCACAACUUUAAGCGGUUUCAAGUCUGAUCGAACCUUUGCAUAGUAUGGGAAGGAAGUGAGAUCAGCGCAACUGUUGAAAUUGCUUCUGUGAAAGCGAUCACCAGAUGCGCGUCUGACGACGCCGAGAUUAGAGAUGUAGACAUGGUUGAGUUCUGUGGCCUCGGCGCCGCAGAUCAAAUUGGAGUUUCACUGCACCUGAGGAGACCACAAAGCGAUCCGCGUCGCACGGUCUCGUCGAAAUACUGGCUUGUCGGUAUCGUGGCCACCGCGAAGCGCGUAGAUGAAUGAUAAUAUUUCAGUUGCUGCGAAUUUGGAUGAAUAUCCACAUUCAUCUCAUUCAGUGUGAAACUUGGACAUGCUUGAUAUUUCAGGAUUUUAACCCGUUCUACCGACAACAAAAUAAGUAGGAUUAUUGUAUAGUUUUUUUUACUUUUCAGUUUCUAUUUCUAUUUUUCUUUUAACAAUAAAUAUGCAUAUAUAUUUUAUAUUAUAUUUUUAUUUUUAAAGUGAUAUCAUGAACUCCAUUAUAAGUUGUAUUUUAAAUUUAAUGAUUGUAAGCAUAUAUUUAAUGGCAUUUAUAUCAACACUUUAAUUUUCCUAGUUUUGGGAUGAUUUUAAAAUAUAGGUUGACUCAUAUUAAUAAGUACAAAAGCCUUUACUUGUUAAGAAAAUAAUUUUUUUUUGUCUGGAUUGAUAUGUUGAAAGUAUUUCAUUAGUCGUUCCACACUCACUUACACAAUGAUGAACGUAUGUGUAAUUUAAGAGAUAUGUAAUAUUAUGAUUUUUUUAUUGUAUUUUUAGUUUGAAUUAGAACUUUUUUACUUCAGCUUUCAUUUCAGGUGACAUGAUAAAACUUAGUAUUUUUAAAUUAAUAAGAUACGUAUGUUCUAUAAAUUUAAGAUGGAAAGUUUGAUGAUAGUUUAAUAAUCAUUAAUAAUUAAUAUGUAUAGAAUGAUAUAAGUACACCUAUUUAUUUUAAGUUUAAAUAUAUGAGAACCUUAUUUUCAUGCUAUUUCUCAAACCAUAGUUGCAAAAAUGGAGUUUGAAGUACUUCUUAGUAACAUUUAUUUAACUUUAAUUUGGAGUCAAAAUUUUGGAGUCAAAAUACUAAAUAGUAAAAUAAUUUUAGAUCUAAUCAUCUCACCUUUAAUUGAUACUGAAAUGAUUUGAUACUCAAAAGUAGUUAAAAUAUGUGUUACUUGUAAUCACUUAAGCUUCUAAAACAGGUUAUGUAAAUAUAAUUCAAUACAUUGUAACUUUUAUUUACUAUCUUUGCAAACAAUAAAAGUAGCAAAAAAUGAGAAUACCAAAGUUUGAUAAUAAAGAUAACUUUUAUGUUUGAUAAAUUUAAUGAUUUUUUAAUAUUUAGAAGUGUAAAAUAAUUGGCAUAUAUUAUAAUAUAUUAAGAGGAAUGUUAAAUAGAUCUAAGUUUUGACUAAAUCAACCCACCCAUGAUAAAGAACAUGAUAAUCAUAAUGAAUGUGAUUGAUUUUCAUUGGUUGCAGAUCCAAUAUUGGAGAAAUGAAUCUAGAUUAUUUAUUUUUAUUUUUAUUUUUUCAUAAUGGUCAAGAUGGAUGGGUUAAUUUAGUAAAAUCAUGGAUUUAUUCAACAUUACUCUAAGUUAAUAUAAUUAGUAGUCAUAUAAAUUUGAAAAAUUUUCAAUUACAUAGUAGUUACUAUAAAUAUAAAAUUUAGAUACAAAUAAUACUUAAUAUUGCAUAUUCACAUACUAUAUAUACAUAAUCAUUUUUUAAAAUACAUGAUUUUUAAAAUAAUAAAGAGUGGUAAAAAAAAAAUUAUUUGCAUAUGUAAGAUUUUAGUUUCAUUAGGUAUUAAAAAAAAAAAAAAAAAAAAAAAAACCCUCAUUACAUAAGAGACAAGCUUGUAAAAAAAGGACACAACAUAUGUGUUUCUUGGUUAUCAUAAAAACAUCAAAGCAUGUGUAUUAAUUUUUUAAUGAAUAAAGUUUUUAUUAAGAAUUAAUUUUUAUUUUUAAUAAAAUAUUAGAAGACCAAUUAGAAUUUUAAAGUAUAUAUAUAUAUAUAUAUAUAUAUAGAUAUAUAUAUAUAAGAAUUAAUGUAAUAGUAGACAUAUCUUGAUUAUUUUAAAAAUAUAUUAAGGUGAUUGAGACCAAAGAAUAAUAAUAAUAACUUUUAUAAAGUUAAAGAAUUUAAUUUAUUUGUAUUUGUAUAAAAAUAAAUAAAUAAAAUUAAUCUAUAAUAAACUAAAAAAAACAUUAAUUUUGAAAGUUAACAAACUAAAAAAAUCAUUAUAUGAAAGAGUAUCAACUAUUUAGAAAGUAGUAUAAGAAGCAUCUCUUUUUAAUGAUUGGUGGAAAAAUUAUAUAUAUAUAUAUAUAUAUAUAUAUCUCUGUAGUAUUAAAAUUUUAAGGUUAUAUAACUAAAAUUACAAAUAAAUAAAAAAAUCACAAAGAAGAUUUUGAGUUGUUCAUAGAGAAUACAUUUUCAUAAUAAAACUUUAAAAUUAUAAAAAAUACUUAAGAAAUGAUUAAAAAAUAAAUAAAUAAAUUUUAUAGUAGAAAGCUAGUACAAAACACAUCAUUAUCACAAGUAAAUGCAAAUCUAUUGAAAUUAUAUUUAGAAAAUUUAAUAACAAAAAUAAUCUAUAUACAACUCUAUUUUUUAGAAUUGCAAAAUAUAAAGACAAAGAAUAUGGAGAUAAUUUGUAAUGUUAUAGAUGCCAUUUAACUAAGCAAACUAAUGAAAAAAAACACCAUACAUGUCUAAUAGAAGCACUAUUUAUUUUAUAUAUGUAAAAAAAAUACUUCAUAUUUAUGAAAAUUUCAAAUAUUAACUUUGCACAACACAAAUUGACAUAUAAUGUUAUAUUAAUUAUAACGCUCAUAAAAUAGUUUUUGCAACAUGAAUCAAGUGGAAAAGGGCUCAAUGCUCAAUUGCCAAACUAUCACCAGCAUCUUGUAGUAAGAAUACCAUACAAAGCUGCAUGCAUCCUGCAACAACACAAAUCACCAACCUGAACAACAAGAUGUAGUUGCUCAAAGCUUGAGCUUCUUUGAGACUGGCUUUAUGUUGAGAAAAUCCUCAUUCCUAAACUUUGCUAUCUUCCCAGCAUUUCCAUUGGAAAAUCUUGACUGUGUUGGUGCUUGUUGCAGUGAGGCUUUGUGCGGCAAACUGCCUUUGGAUUUCAGCUUGUGGGUCAAGACCUUCUGAGCUUCAUCCGCUUCGAGUAGCCCGUGUUCCAUCAACCUGCCACACCACAUUCCUACACUGAAUUUUAGCUCAAGAGAAAUCAAAAUGCAUUAAGAAAUCAACGACGAAGACGAUUGGAAACAGCAUGUUUCAAGCAUGUUAAGGGCAGUGUUUUCAUACCAGAUAUUAGCCAUGUCACUUGUGGGUAUCUGCCUGUGGAGCGAUUCAUAAAACAAUCUCAAUGCGUCUCUCUGGUAUUGCAACAACCAGUAGCAAAUCACGCCAUGAGACUGUUAGCAUACUACUCAGAAACCUUCCGAAGUUGGUCUCAAAUCAUGUGAAUAUACAAGUUCUGAAUUGAGAUUUUAACUGAAUCCUAUGUUCUACAAAACAUGAGACUCUUACCUCCUCCGGGGUUUCAAAUCUUUGACCCGGUAGAGAGAAUGCUUUCUUCAUGUGUUUCUCCUGCUUUUUUUUGAUGGCGGAUGUGGUAACCAACUUGACAGCCUUCGGAGCUUUUGCAGCAUGAAUUCUUACCUAUGUCACAGCAAGUGCACAACACCAUAAAGAAGCUUUUUUUAAUCUUCAUCUUGAUCCAAAAAAUCAGCUCUGACGUUGAAUUCUUAAGCCGCAUUUCUAGCCUAUCAAUUUGCAAAAUUUCAGACGAUUGGGCGGUACAAAGGUUUGAAGUGCUCAUAGCGUUUACCGGCUCUGCAAUCUUUGUGGCAGUCCUCAUUUGCACAUCUUUGCCACUUUCCGCAGGUCGCUUCCUGUUACUUGAGACCUUGUUUUUCUUUGUGUCUUCCAAUUGUGCUGGCCUCACCGCAGUCUUCCCUUCCGACCACACCUUGCCACUUGCACUAUCCUUCUUCACGGUCUUCUCGCUUUCAAAUCCCGUCAAAACUCUCGUUCCAUCACUGUGUCGUUCAACAGUCUUAGGCUUUAAUGGCUCUCUUGGUUUUUCAUUCCUCAUCUUUGUGUCUUCGAUACCUAAGACUUGAAUCUUUUGGAAGCCCUCGUUAUAUGUGCGCUUCUCUCUGGCAUCUUUGAUCUUGUGCUGCGUCUUUACGUCUUGGGUUCUCUUGAGACUAUCCCUUUCUACAUCGUGUUUCGAUUUAGGUCGCACUUUCUCACCGGUUGCUUGAGUUCUACCUACGUUCUCAGUUGAUGGGUUCCUGUCUGCACUGACCUUGGCUUUUAGAUGAGGAAUUGGCACCAGAGACUUUGAUUUUAUGUACUCUUUACUUGUCUUCGGUGGCUCCGUUCCUGUACUCUUCAUUUGAUCACAACUACGUUUCAACGCAACCCCAGUGCUAUCUGCGUAAUCUUUCCCGAGUCUCUCCAGCGGUGUUGCUGCAACUCUGCCGCUCUUCGAACCCCCUGCUAUGGUUCUGGGUGGAUCUUUACUACUCAUCGGGGUGGACCGUAUUCCUGGUUUCGAAGGCUUGUAAUCCAUCUCUCAGGCGCUUGAAAUCCUCCUUAGUUCAGCUAUAGCUUAUCCCCUCCAAGACCGGGAAGAUCGAGUCCUGCAGCAGUGCAGGUGCUUGUACAUGAAGAUGGGGGUACCUUUGAAACUAUGGCGCAUUGUAAAAAUAUAAAAAUGCUGGAACAAAAUAAAUCAACAUGAUUGAGAGGUUGUAGAAGUAUGAAAAUCUAACAUAGUACAGAAGUCUUUGUUGAAUAUAACAAUUACAUUCUUCACAAUGACCGACUAGAGUCUUAAACUCUUGGUGUCGAAGUUAAUAGAUGUUGUAGAAUUCAAUGUACGAGACCAGAUUGCAGCAGAUGUCUUUUCAAACUGGACUGCAACACAGGACCGGAACACUGGGAUUCGAGGAAUAUGUUCCUGCUGCAGCACCACGAACCGCCAUUGCAACAAAUUUAGAUUAGUGUACCUCCUGAGACUUGGAUACUACCGACCCGAGCUCCAUCUCACUUGUCCGAACCAAUGGGCACGAGAACUUAAAUUCCAAAGGAAUUUUAAUAAAUCUAGUUCUAAUUAUUCUCGAAUUUAUGAGUAGGCACACCAGCAACACACACUCCGCCCAGUUUCUGUCACUAAGUAAUUCUUUGAUUCCAAGGUUUCAGAGGCUUCCAAGCCAAAUUUCAGCAUCUAGCCCACCACUCACAAGUUUGUUUGCCGAAUUCUUGAGGGUUAACUUCCACUCUAAACCAAAAACCCACCAAAACAGAACACGCCCAAAAUCACGCACACCACGCCCCUGCAAACAAUUUCGGAGUAAUCACCACUGAAUACCGAUUUAUUCUCAUGCAGCUCUCGCUAGGAUGGAGUGACUUCAUGUGCGUACAUCACGAGCACAAAAUAUAAGAACAGAUUAGCAAUUGAAAUCGCUCCCUAACCCGAAAACAAUUGUAGACACGCGCCACGAAGCCACAGAAUCCACUCCUGCCCCACUAAGUUCUCGCGUUAAAGCCUCUGUUUCCUCUAGACAGAUUGUGUAGCGCUGAGUUCUCAUCAUCCUCAUACCUGUGCAAGCUUCUUCCACUGGUCCUGUCUAGAGCCGAAAGAAUUGACCGCCUGGGAAAGACUCCACGGUCCCCGCAUUUAGAAUUUAUGAUCUGCAGAACCAGAACCUGUGUCGUCUUCCUGCCAACAUCUGGAGCGGAAGAGGCAAAAGGCCCUGCUCUACAAGUUGCCGCGUGCUAGUAGGGCUGUUGUCGGUGAGUUAGGAUUUCCCAGCGCUGAUAACAGGUUGCUGACUCGUAAUGGCUGAAUCCGCAACGUGCUUGCGCGUCGUCCUGCUAAACUCCUCCAACAAAGAUGCCAAAAGAAGAAAAAAAGGUACUCUCUGACAACUUGAGUGUGUCCUGAACGUUCCUUGGAGCAACACCGACGAAAUGAAUCAGGUGAUACGGGGAGAGUCUUCGGACAAUCCCGGGUUGACUGAUUUGAAGAUGGACUACCCCAAGUCACGAGAAUUAUCGAUAUGGCACUGCACCUUUCGAUGCUUGUGCUGGAUGGACCAAGGCGGAUGAGAAACCGCGCUACUAUUUUCAUGCAUAUCUGUUCGCCGCGAGGCACCUGUUGGACUGUUUCAAGGUUUUGCGAAACCAUAUUAAUUACAAUUUUUUUCAUUAAAAACAGUUGCAAACAUUACGCAAAUCCACCAACGUCCAUGUGCUCUGAGUAUGAACUUCACGUACCUUCACCCUUUGUUCUUCUUCCAGCAGGAUUCCGUAACACUUAACGAACCAUUCACAAUAAUUAUAGGCACUUUUCACACAACUCCAAGGGUAAGGAAUCACACCAACGUUUUUUUGGUUCCCAUGUCUUUAUUCGAACCCACUCCGGCCCACGGUUUCCAAUGCGAACAGUUCCACUUCACUUCAACGGGAAUCACGCGAAAGGGAAACAAGCUCUCAACAUUCUAGCUAGCACGAGGGGGUUCAACGUUCUAGCUUCGACCUCUACAGCCCAACCCGCCGUCCGAGAGAGCUCAGCCGCGGUGGUCACCGAGCAUGGUCCCCACAUGGUGAGCAGUAAUGCAGAUCUAUCUAUCUAUCUAUCUAGAUUGCGAUGAGGAUGAUGCUGGCUACACUGGGUGCUCCUGCUGCUGCUGCUUAUUUCAGCGUCGUCGUCGUCUUCGUCUUCUUCACUGUGUUGUGUUGCCGUAGAUCAUCGUCUUCAUCUUGUUGUGUGUGUUUUUACGUUUGAAACAUUUGAGUGGUGGUUAAUUUUAGUGCUGGUAUCCUCAUGUAGUAAGGUUAGAGAUUUCAUAAUUGGAAUUUAUAUUGUAAACUUCUUUGCACCAACUUGUUAUUCUUUGGUAUUUUAACUUGGAUAGUUUAGUGGUGGACUAGCUAUGUUGUGUGUUUUUGGAACAUGGUUUGUCUAUGUUUUGGGUUUUGAAUGUGAUAUGCUUUUAAGAAGACAAGAAUUGAAGUAUUUGAGUAAUUGGGUCUUUGAAGUGUUUAGAGAUCUAGUUGUGAGGUUUGUUUGAAUAUUGUGGGUUCACAAGGAUGAACAUUGAGUUUGAUUGAAUUAUAUAUAAAUAUCAAAUAUUCAUUGUUUUUAUGUUAGCAUUUAACAAGCACGUUUUUAAAAUUUUAUAACUAAAAUUUGAACUAUUCAACUUAUUAUACCAACUUCUCAUUCUUAUGUAGUUUAAAAUAAUUAAAUAUAUAUUAAAAGUUGUUUUGUAUUAGAAUGUCACUUAUAAUAUACUUAAUAAAUUAAAAUAGACUAUUUGUAUAUGUGAAUAUAUAUAAUAAUAUUUACACAUUAAAUUUUAUUUAUUUUAUUUAUUUUUAUAUUUUAAAAUUAUAUAAAUAUAGAUAUGUCAUAAAAAUAUGUAACAUAAUGAAUUAAUUUUUUAAAAAAUCAUAUUGCUUUGAAAAUAUGUUUAAGUGUUUAAUGUUUUUGUAAGCAUAUCUAUCAAUGUUAUGCAAAAUAAAUACAAGAUGAUUUAUGAAUUUAAUAAUGUAAUAAUCUAAAAUAAAUUGAUGUGAUAUUUUAUGAAUUGGAUUUGGAAUGUCUUAUGAAAUACAAUAAAAUAUUUGAAAUGUGAUUUUAUUUAUUUAUUUAUUUAUUUUUAAGUUAUCCAAACAUAUCAUUACUAUCUUAUUCAGAUGAAGUUCAAAAACCACAUCUUUAGAGAUUAAGUUGCAAUGUAGUAUAGCAAUAAAACAACUUUGUUAUUGUCUUUAAUAAAUUGAUUGGAAUUCUAAUAAAAAAAAAUCUUAAAAUGGUUUUAAAAUAGAACAAAUUACUAAUGAGUGAAUAGAUGCUAUUCACAAAAGACAAAAAAGAUUUAUGAUUAAGUUGUCAAGAUGUUGGUUCAAAAAACUAAAAAUAAAAACACAUAAUUAAUAAAAUUUAUAAAAAUAAAAAUAAAAAUAAAAAACUUGUUUAAACUUUGCAAAACUAAAAACAUUUUAAAUCUAAAUAAAUCCAUAGUUAUUUUUAAUAUUCAUGUUUGAAAAUAAAUAUUUAAUUAAUUUUUUUUCAAGAGUAAAUCAAAGUAUCUCAAGAAAGCAUUCCAAACAAACAAUUGUGUCUAAAUACACACAAUCAUAUCCUCUGAAUUCAAUGUCAACAACAAAAGAUAACUUACUUUCAAAUAACUGUUUUCAAUAAAUUAUUCCUAGAAACAAUAAAUCGUAUAAAAAAUAAAAAUAAAAAUAAACUACAAAGAAAGAGUCAAAUUACGAGUCAAAUUAAAAAUUGUAAAAUUUUCAAUGGAAAAUCACGUCCAAAGAAACAAUGCCAUUAAUCAACCAGCUCAACACCCCCCCCCCCAAAUAGCUACACUUUUCCACAUCCUUUUACGUUUUGGAGAACUUUUGUUUUUUAUUAUUUUGACUUGUUCCUUUCCUUUUGGGCGACGCCAUUUGUGUGUGUACGAGAGUGUGUGUGUUUUUUUGAGGGGACCGGGCUGCAAUUGCAGAGGCAGCGACGGUGGAAGAAGCGUGUUGCCGAAUCCCAGUCUCGCAAAGCAGCGUUGCGUGUGUUUAGUCGGUACCGUGAUCUACAUGAGUGAGAGAGAGACUUCGAUUAUAGUAAUCGCAGCACUUUAGUGGGGCAAGGAUUGAUUGAUUGAUUCAAGCAGCAGGCGCAGGUGCCCAUCGGAUUGAUUUAUUGAUUCAUUCAGUAGAUUGCAGUGCACUCACACAAUUUCACCAUGUUUUCAAGGCUGUUCGGGAAGCCCAAGCAGGAGCCCUCUACCCUGUCCACACUCGACAAGCUUAAUGAGGUGCGGUUAUCGUGGAUUCGAUUCGGAUUGAGAACUGGGUUUGUGUUUUUUGAUUGGGUGUUGUGAUUAGAGUUCGAGUUGAUUUAGGAAUAAUUUGGAUGUGCACUAUGGGUUUGAUGGGUGGAGACAGACCUUGGAGAUGUUGGAGAAGAAGGAAAAGGUGUUGCAGAAGAAAAUAGCCAUGGAGAUAGAAAAGGCUAAGGAAUUCACCAGGUUGAAGAAUAAGAGAGGUGAGCGCUGCGGUUGGUGGCCGUUCUGUUUGUGGCAAGAGGGAUGUGAUGCAUUUAGGGCUGGCUCCCGCUAAAGAGUAGGAGGUUGGGAUGUUUAGGGUUGAUGAUGAGUGCUGGUGUGAGUGACUGUUUGAUCUGGCAGCUGCGAUUCAGUGUUUGAAACGGAAGAGAUUGUAUGAAGUCCAAGUAGAACAACUGGGCAACUUCCAAUUGCGUAUCCAUGACCAGGUCCGAGAGUUCACUCUUCCUGAUUACAUUACAUGAUUCAAGUCCAGGUUCGGUUGUUGAGAAUGGGAUGAACUCCUAGAAUUUUGCCGAUUUCCGCUCGUGUGCACUCGAUCAUUCCUGUGUCUUUUGACCUAAUCAAGCUUCUGGUCGAUUCGUGUGUACCUCUGGUUUCACCGUCACGUGUCGUGUUGUUCUUUUCUCCUACAGAUGAUUAUGCUGGAGGGUGCUAAGGCAACGACAGAAACCGUGGAUGCUCUGCGCAGCGGUGCUGCAGCCAUGAAAGCCAUCCAGAAAGCCACGUACUGUACCUGCCCUUUCCUCUUGACGAAUCUCUGGCUCAGUGUUUAUAUCGAUUCACUGUUCUACUACAGGAGAACAUGGAACGCACCGAUCUUUAUUUUUGUUGUGUUAGCGUGCUGAUUAUGUCUCAAAGGUUAUGGAAGCGUUUUGUAUUAGUAUUAAUUGCAGAAUCCGUUAUAAUGCACCAGCUUUGCUUCCUAGAGCUAGGGACAAUACAUUUAUUUAGUAGGAUAUGGACUAACGUGACGUUAGUCAUCAGAAGGUCAUGUGUGAGCUGUUAACUCUAAAAUAUGAUAAUAAUGUGGUUUGCAGCAAUAUUGAUGACGUAGACAAGACGAUGGACGAGAUCAACGAGCAGACUGAGAACAUGAAGCAGAUCCAAGAGGCACUCUCAACACCAAUUGGAACAGCAGCUGAUAUUGAUGAGGUGAAAUUUGAAAUCCGAAUAUUGUGUUCUUUUCUUUUAUCUUUUCGUACUUUGUGAUGAUAUAUUUGAAGGGACGACUCUCAGCAGAAUGAUAAGUAGAUGGGGGAAAUUACUUGUUCUUGAGAAUAUGUUUGGUGCUUGGUGCAAAUUGCCGGUAGUUUUAAAACCGUUCGGUUCACUAGAAUAAUCACCACAAUUUUUGGACUAUUUCAUAUGAAGGAUUUAAAGGGUUUUGUUGCAUAAGAUGUUGUGGAUAGGCAUUUGUAGACUACAUUAUCUGACAUGCGCGUCAACCCUCUCCUUUGUGGCAAAUGUAUUGCAGGACGAGCUGGAAGCUGAGCUUGAGGACCUCGAAGGGGCUGACUUGGAAGAACAGCUCAUUCAGCCGUCUACUCACCAGCUUCCCCAGGCUCAAACAUACAAGCCUACUUCAGUUCCUACAAAGAGUCCUCCUACGACAAACACUGAGGAAGAUGAACUUGCAGCCCUUCAAGCUGAAAUGGCACUUUAGAAACAUAUCACCCCUGCCCCCUCAUCGCAUUUUGGAGUGUUUUUUUGGUCUCCACAUAAGUUUUUGUUCAGGUUUGUGUCAGUAUUCCAACUUGAUAAGCAAGUGGGCUCUGUCUCUAGAACGCUUUGAUUGAAAGUGAAGAUCACAGUGGAAACUGAAUCGCUUUCCAAGUUCCAGGUGCUAACCGGAUGGCAUAACGUGCUCGAUAGACACACAGAAGCGUGCAUGUAACUCGGACGCUUCUUCGGUCAUUGGAAAUGGUGAGAUCACACUCAGAAGGUAAAUAAGGUGUGGGCAAAAGCAUGGAAAGAUGGGUUUGUAUCACGAAUUUGGCUUAUUUAACUGGUUCGCUUUCAUUUGCACCUUCGAAGAGCAGCAAUUGGGCUCUUGCCGACUGCUCUUGCUGUUCCUCCUAUCAGCCCGUGUAAAACUGUAUACUGAAACAUUCUUACUUUUUAUAGAUUUUUUUUUCAUUUAGCCACGUCGGCAUACAAUGUUACAGCGGGAUCCACCAACUUACUUCAAACUGUGAAUUGAGAUAGUUUUCAAUGUUCAUAAUAUACUUAAGUAUCCUUCAAGGAAUAUGGAUGUUAGUGAAAUUGAAGCUCAUCUAGACUUGCGCUGUUGCCGGUGGCAACUGUUAGACCUUUGGUACAACCUUUGUCAGUUGAUACAAUUAAAUGGUUGCAAAUUUAUUGAUCUCGGUUAUUUCGGUUCAGUUUGCAUUUGAUUUAUUUUGUUGUUUUAAAGAAUUUGGGGUAUGAAUUAGCACUUUGGGUGCUCCACUUGGUUGACCCAAAGGAGUCGGUCCCGUUGGUUACGAGGCAUCAAAAGAAUGUUCAAGUACUUCCAGCUUGCUUUUGUUUAUAAAUUAACAAAGGUGUAAUUUAUGCUUUUCGGUCAACUUUUAAAUAAUCUCCUGCAUUGUCGUUCAAGAACGGUAUAUUAUGUUAUUUGUAGUAGGAAAUUGAAUUAAUAUAUUUUCUUCUUCUGUGUACAAUAAAUGUAACAUAAUUCUGUCUUUUUAAAUCGAUUUUAUUUAUUUUAUUAAAAAAUGUGAAUAAAGUUAUACUUUACUGUAGUAUUUCUGUAUUUACCUCCUUUUUUCUUUUUCAAUUUCAUUGUUGCUAGUUUUUAGAAAAAUUGAUAACUAAUAUAUAUAUAUAUAAAGAUGGGCAAAAUGAAAAUAAAUAAAUGAAUAAAAAUAACGAUAAAAAGGACAUAGAGAUUGUACCAUCUUCAUAAAAGUAUAUAUGUAAAAAUAUUGCUUCUCAUAACGUGGACCUCAUACUUCAAAUAAUGAAUUAUUUAGUAAAGUACCUAAUAAAUUGCAAGUUAUAAAAAAUGUACUGAUUUGGAACAAUGAGAUUAUACAACCUUUUUGAAUGUAUUUUAUUUUUUAUACAAAUCAAUAAUAAAAAAAAAAAUAUCCAACAAUAUGAUAAAAGUUUAUAAUUUGAAGCCAAAAAGGGAUGCAAAUGUGUUUAAAUUAGUAUCUUAAAGACACUUAAAAUAAUAGUUGAAAGCUUUUUAAAGAAAAUAAUUCAUGACAUAUAUAUAUAUAUAUAUAUAUAUAUAAUUUUAAACAAUCUAUUGUCAUAGACAUAUACAUUUACUCUAAUAGUUACUUAUAUAAUUAGGUAGAAAUAGGUAAAUAUAGAUUAAUUUCAUAAAAUCUUUUAGAGAAACUUCUUAGAAGCUUUAUAGAUGUAGUUUUGACUUUAUGUAUUUGUAGGUUAUAAACUUGGCCAACAAAUUAACUAUGUGUUGGUAGCUUGUAGAAUAAGUUAAUUAUGAGGAGCAUAUAUAGAUAACUUGCCUUGUAAGUUAAGAUAUGUAUUUUGCAAAGUCAACAUGUUUUAGAGGAUCUAUAGGACAUUGCCACGUUGUCGUAAUAUGUGAAGUCUUGCUUGAGAAUGCUCCAAGCACCUGGCUGUGGAAGGUAGAAUGGAAAUUGCAACAACAAAAUCCUAACUAUAAUAGAAUACUAACUAAAAUCUAAUUAGAGCAUAAUAAUGCUAAGUAAGCUUCAAAAAAUUCUCAAAGAAAUUUCAAACAAAUAAUAAGAAUUCUUAAAGAAAUAUUAGAAUGAUCACAAAUAUUACUCAAAUACAUCUCAAUUCAAUCUUAAUUUAAUUCUAGUUAAAAUCCUAUUAAACUUCAUUCAAACUUUAGGCCAAAAAUAAUUAAAUAUUAAAUCCUAAUAAAAUCCUAAAUCCUAAAUCAAACCCUAAUCAAAUCCUAAUCAAAUUCUAACUAAAUCCUAAUCCAAACCCUAAUCCAAACCCUAAAUCCUAAACCUAAAUCAAAUCCUAACCCUAAACCAAAUCCAAAUCAAACCCUAAACCAAAUCCUAAACCCUAAAUCAAACCCUAAUCCUAAAUCAAAUCCUAACCAAACUUUAAAUCCUAAACCAAUCC
Molecule: long non-coding RNA, 41924 nt
Filed under: Physcomitrium patens
Lineage: Eukaryota; Viridiplantae; Streptophyta; Bryopsida; Funariales; Funariaceae
Description: long non-coding RNA (PPAT_LNC005098)
Source: RNAcentral